RNAcentral lists this unclassified non-coding RNA (339 nucleotides) under soil metagenome. RNAcentral describes it as "partial contains 5.8S ribosomal RNA, internal transcribed spacer 2, and large subunit ribosomal RNA". The stretch from base 1 to 120 matches the Rfam family "5.8S ribosomal RNA", at positions 35 to 154 of the family's 154-position model. The record is from RNAcentral.
GAUGAAGAACGUAGUGAAAUGCGAUAAGUAGUGUGAAUUGCAGAAUUCAGUGAAUCAUCGAAUCUUUGAACGCACAUUGCGCCCUUUGGUAUUCCAAAGGGCAUGCCUGUUCGAGCGUCAUUUGUACCCUCAAGCUCUGCUUGGUGUUGGGUGUUUGUUCCGCCUCUGUGUGUGAACUCGCCUCAAAACAAUUGGCAGCCGGCGUACUUGUUUCGGAGCGCAGCACAUUUUGCGAUCCAGAUCAACGUACAGCGGCAUCCAAGAAGCCUUAUUUAACGCUCUUGACCUCGGAUCAGGUAGGGAUACCCGCUGAACUUAAGCAUAUCAAUAAGCGGAGGA